This 251-nucleotide ribosomal RNA is filed under the name uncultured prokaryote. RNAcentral describes it as "partial 16S ribosomal RNA". It matches the Rfam family "Bacterial small subunit ribosomal RNA", at positions 525 to 775 of the family's 1533-position model. The record is from RNAcentral.
ACGUAGGGGGCAAGCGUUGAUCAGAAUCACUGGGCGUAAAGCGUGCGCAGGCGGUUAUGCAAGACAGGGGUGAAAUCCCCGGGCUCAACCUGGGAACUGCACUUGUGACUGCAUGACUAGAGUGCGUCAGAGGGAGGUGGAAUUCCGCGUGUAGCAGUGAAAUGCGUAGAGAUGCGGAGGAACACCGAUGGCGAAGGCAGCCUCCUGGGAUGACACUGACGCUCAUGCACGAAAGCGUGGGGAGCAAACAG